This 406-nucleotide ribosomal RNA is filed under the name uncultured bacterium. RNAcentral describes it as "partial 16S ribosomal RNA". It matches the Rfam family "Bacterial small subunit ribosomal RNA", at positions 30 to 526 of the family's 1533-position model. The record is from RNAcentral.
AUUGAACGCUGGCGGCAGGCUUAACACAUGCAAGUCGAGCGAGCGGCGGACGGGUGAGUAAUGUCUCGGAAACUGCCUGAUGAAGGGGGAUAACUACUGGAAACGGUAGCUAAUACCGCAUACUAUCAGAUGUGCCCAGAUGGGAUGAGCUAGUAGUUGGGGUAAUGGCUCACCUAGGCGACGAUCCCUAGCUGGUCUGAGAGGAUGACCAGCCACCCUGGAACUGAGACACGGUCCGAACUCCUACGUGAGGCAGCAGUGGGGAAUAUUGCACAAUGGGCGCAAGCCUGAUGCAGACAUGCCGCGUGUGUGAAGAAGGCCUUAGGGUUGUAAAGCACUUUCAGCGAGGAGGCGUUACUCGCAGAAGAAGCACCGGCUAACUCCGUGCCAGCAGCCGCGGUAAUAC